UGAUGGUGAUGAUUGUACCGAGGGGUU
This 27-nucleotide non-coding RNA is filed under the name Bombyx mori (domestic silkworm). The record is from RNAcentral. Lineage: Eukaryota; Metazoa; Arthropoda; Insecta; Lepidoptera; Bombycidae.